GAUGAACGCUAGCUACAGGCUUAACACAUGCAAGUCGAGGGGAAACGAUAUUGAAAGCUUGCUUUCUUUAGGCGUCGACCGGCGAAUGGGUGAGUAACGCGUAUCCAACCUGCCCCUGAGUAAGGGAUAGCCCAUCGAAAGAUGGAUUAAUACCUUAUAGUUUCCUUUGAAGGCAUCUGAUUAGGAAUAAAGAUUUAUCGCUGAGGGAUGGGGAUGCGUCUGAUUAGCUUGUUGGCGGGGUAACGGCCCACCAAGGCGACGAUCAGUAGGGGUUCUGAGAGGUUGAACGGCCACAUUGGGACUGAGAUACGGCCCAGACUCC
This 322-nucleotide ribosomal RNA is filed under the name uncultured Prevotella sp. Its description in RNAcentral is "bacterial SSU rRNA". It matches the Rfam family "Bacterial small subunit ribosomal RNA", at positions 28 to 339 of the family's 1533-position model. Lineage: Bacteria; Pseudomonadati; Bacteroidota; Bacteroidia; Bacteroidales; Prevotellaceae. The record is from RNAcentral.